GGCGUAUAAUUUGUCGUCGCCACCCAUAACAAUUUUGGUGCCGUGACUCGGAUAAGGUAACUUGGUUCGGAAUCUAAACUCUGGGGAGGCGCCCCAUCUUGGGAUGGCCCCGGAGUGGACGAUAUCCUUUCCAAGACCCUUACCUCCGAACCCUAAAUUUGGCAAGCAGGCAAAAGAACACUGCAGUACCCCGUAAUUUUUGUGCACAAAGAUCCGGGCGAAGACUCCAGGUUAAGGACUGUUUCUUGUUUUGCUUACUACAGAUACUGCAGUCCGGACUGCCGAAAGAGGGUGGACUCAUGCAAGCAGAAUCAAAGGACCAAUUCAGAGCUCACGUUGGGAGGCGAUUAGAGACCCUGACAGCUUGAAAAUUACGUUCCGAAGGAAAGCAGGUGAGUGAGACUGUCUUUUGUAACAACCCUAACUGUAUAUGUUAUCCCUUUGUAUGUUAUAGGUGUAAACUCUGUAGAAAAAAGUGGUGGGUCCAUUGCCCUUAUGGAUAUUCCCCUAGCGGUAUUUGCCA
Molecule: long non-coding RNA, 523 nt
Organism: Aquila chrysaetos chrysaetos
Lineage: Eukaryota; Metazoa; Chordata; Aves; Accipitriformes; Accipitridae
Exons: 2
Source: RefSeq, a predicted model, not a curated record